This 323-nucleotide ribosomal RNA is filed under the name uncultured bacterium. Its description in RNAcentral is "bacterial SSU rRNA". It matches the Rfam family "Bacterial small subunit ribosomal RNA", at positions 28 to 346 of the family's 1533-position model. The record is from RNAcentral.
GAUGAACGCUAGCUACAGGCUUAACACAUGCAAGUCGAGGGGCAGCGCAGUGUAGCAAUACAUGGGCGGCGACUGGCGCACGGGUGCGUAACGCGUAUCCAACCUUCCCGUUACUCAGGGAUAGCCUUCCGAAAGGGAGAUUAAUACCUGAUGGUGUUUGAAUUCCGCAUGUUAUUCAAACUAAAGAUUUAUCGGUAACGGAUGGGGAUGCGUGACAUUAGAUAGUAGGCGGGGUAACGGCCCACCUAGUCUACGAUGUCUAGGGGUUCUGAGAGGAAGGUCCCCCACACUGGAACUGAGACACGGUCCAGACUCCUACGGGA